UUCUGGAUAUGAAGACAAUCA
This 21-nucleotide microRNA is filed under the name Pongo pygmaeus (Bornean orangutan). RNAcentral's name for it is "ppy-miR-4782". Lineage: Eukaryota; Metazoa; Chordata; Mammalia; Primates; Hominidae. The record is from miRBase by way of RNAcentral.